GUGUUCAAUUCGGCAGUACAUAUACGAAAACUGUUAACAAUGCAGAGAAGAUCAGGACGGCCCCUGUGCAAAGAUGACAUGCCAAUCCGUGAAGCAUUGCACAUGAAA
This is a small nuclear RNA of Vicugna pacos (alpaca), 108 nucleotides long. The record is from RefSeq and is a predicted model, not a curated record. NCBI's taxonomy places the organism in Eukaryota, Metazoa, Chordata, Mammalia, Artiodactyla, Camelidae.